RNAcentral lists this ribosomal RNA (253 nucleotides) under uncultured bacterium. RNAcentral describes it as "partial 16S ribosomal RNA". It matches the Rfam family "Bacterial small subunit ribosomal RNA", at positions 524 to 776 of the family's 1533-position model. The record is from RNAcentral.
UACGAAGGGGGCUAGCGUUGCUCGGAAUCACUGGGUGUAAAGCGCACGUAGGCGGCUUUCUAAGUCAGGGGUGAAAUCCUGGAGCUCAACUCCAGAACUGCCUUUGAUACUGGGAAGCUCGAGUCCGGAAGAGGUGAGUGGAACUCCGAGUGUAGAGGUGAAAUUCGUAGAUAUUCGCAAGAACACCAGUGGCGAAGGCGGCUCACUGGCCCGAUACUGACGCUGAGGUGCGAAAGCUAGGGGAGCGAACGGG